GAUGAAGAACGCCAGUGAAAUGCGAUAAGUAAUGCGAAUUGCAGAAUCCGUGAGUCAUCGAAUCUUUGAACGCACAUUGCGCCCGCCAGUAUUCUGGCGGGCAUGCCUGUUCGAGCGUCAUUUCAACCAUCAAGCCCCCGGCUUGUGUUGGGGACCUGCGGCUGCCGCAGGCCCUGAAAAGCAGUGGCGGGCUCGCUGUCACACCGAGCGUAGUAGCAUACAUCUCGCUCUGGGCGUGCUGCGGGUUCCGGCCGUUAAACCACCUUCAUAACCCAAGGUUGACCUCGGAUCAGGUAGGAAGACCCGCUGAACUUAAGCAUAUCAAUAAGCGGAGGA
Molecule: unclassified non-coding RNA, 336 nt
Filed under: soil metagenome
Description: partial contains 5.8S ribosomal RNA, internal transcribed spacer 2, and large subunit ribosomal RNA
Rfam family: 5.8S ribosomal RNA (bases 1-120)
Source: RNAcentral